UACACAAUAAUUAUAAUAAUAUAAAAAAAAUAUAUAUACCAAGAAAUAUACACUGCUCAAAAGAAUAAAGGGAACACUUAAACAACACAAUGUAACUCCAAGUCAAUCACACUUCUGUGAAAUCGAGAGCAUCCUGUCGGGCUGUAUCACCGCCUGGUACGGCAACUGCUCCGCCCACAACCGUAAGGCUCUCCAGAGGGUAGUGAGGUCUGCACAACGCAUCACCGGGGGCAAACUACCUGCUCUCCAGGACACCUACACCACCCGAUGUCACAGGAAGGCCAUAAAGAUCAUCGAGGACAACAACCACCCAAGCCAUUGCCUGUUCACCCCACUAUCAUCCAGAAGGCGAGAUAUGCAGGUGACAUUUCCACCUGGAUGACAGCACAGAGAUGCUCUUCAUCCGAGGGAAUGCCUGCCCAUUCUCAGAUGUUAGAUAAUCUGAGAAGAUCACAUCAUUUACAUUCCAGCCCUUGUCAGCUCCAGAUUUGACUACUUCAACUCACACCCUGCUGGAAUCCCUGCAUUAUCAGAUUCCACUCUGUUAUUAAUCACUAUAUUGUACUCAAUAAAGUCUUUCAAAAUGC
This is a long non-coding RNA of Salvelinus fontinalis (brook trout), 587 nucleotides long. RefSeq lists it as uncharacterized. The transcript is spliced from 2 exons. Lineage: Eukaryota; Metazoa; Chordata; Actinopteri; Salmoniformes; Salmonidae. The record is from RefSeq and is a predicted model, not a curated record.